Small nucleolar RNA from Grammomys surdaster, 124 nucleotides. RefSeq annotates it as small nucleolar RNA SNORA40. The record is from RefSeq and is a predicted model, not a curated record. Lineage: Eukaryota; Metazoa; Chordata; Mammalia; Rodentia; Muridae. The transcript has a single exon.
UAUUGUUGUUGUUGUUGUUGAGCUGGUGGACAAAGACUUAAAAAGCAGGUGUUAAACAAAUAUUCUUUUGUAACCCAGAAUCCACUGUUCUGUUUGCGUUCUGGUAGAUACAAGAAGGAAUACU